This 147-nucleotide unclassified non-coding RNA is filed under the name soil metagenome. Its description in RNAcentral is "partial internal transcribed spacer 1". The record is from RNAcentral.
UAAUAAGUGUUUUAUGGCACUUUUUUAAAUCCAUAUCCACCUUGUGUGCAAUGUCGGUCGAUCUUCUUCAUGGAGAUCGACCAAACAUCAACCUUUAUCUUUUAACUCUUUGUCUGAAAAAUAUUAUGAAUAAACAAUUCAAAAUAC